ACAGGACCCGCUCGGGGCCCCGGGCUGCCUGCAGGCCGGGCCCUCCUGGCCCCAGCGCUGACCCCGGCCAGCUCGUGGGAAAUUAUCAGCUAGAGGUUAUCUGCCACUGAUUUGUUUGACCAUUGACGACUUACUUAAUUCUCUUCUGCCUCAGCAACCCAACUCAGAAAAAAUUCUUAAAAGACCUUUGCAAAUCUGCUGAGUUUUACAGGUCUCAUCCUCUAAAUAAGUGGAACAUCUCAAUCACACUUAAGAAGCAGAGGCAGUAAAGCCCAAAAAUAUGAGAUGGCACCAGCAGUCCGAGUCUUGGAAUUUUAAUCUCUGUUUGGUCAAUAACUUGUUGCAUGAUCCUUCAUGCAACUUCAACUGCUCUUUGUUUCAGUUUCUCUAUCUGUAAAGUGGGCGUAAUUACGUAAUUAUGGGGUUUUACAACUGUGUAAGUUACAAAAUAUCAUUGUAAGAAUUACAGAAAAAGAAUCCUUCUGAAACCUUUUAACUCUCAGUUCUUCCAAGGAUCUGUCCCUAACAUUUAGAUUAUAGCAAGCAAGGUAAAUACUAUAUGUCUGAGGAAAAAAUUGUAAUUAGCAUAUUUUUAAUAUUUAUAUGCCGGUUCUUCCUGGGAAGUGUACAAGGAUAUCACAGUGUUUAAAUCUCACCACGGCAACUGAUUUUUCUAUGCUCUAUCAAUAACAUACUUGCAGAACUGCCAGAUGGGGAGAGAAACUGCAGAGUUAGAAAAUAAUGGUCAGGUUUGUAAUGCAAUAAGAAGAAAGGAUCAGACAUUAAAAUCAUGAUUUUAAAAGAACGUAUUUUGACUAACUUUAAACAUUUAACCAACUUCUUAAAUAAAAGCUUUGUAUUGAUCUGUCUGCAAGAAUGACAAAAGAAAAAAGUGAAAAAAAUAAUAUAGCUAAGGCUGACACAAAUCCUAACCAAAUACAAUUAAUACUGAAUAUAAAAAUGGCAAAUAUCUGGAUGAUAAAUCUUGUGGCAGUAGGGGAGUCAGAAGGUCAGCACAAGCUUUGCAGUAAAGAUUUCUAAUAGGGUCUAUCCACUCUCUCCUUCUUCAAUUAUGGAGAAGACUGGUAAAAAAAACAGAGCUUUGAAAAUUUCGAUUCUCCCAGGCUCCUCUGUACACAACAGCAUUAAAAACAAACAUUUAAAGACAGCAAACUUGCAAAACCUCAGUGCAUUUUUAACCCAUUUUCAGGCAGCAUUAGAUCAACAACAGAAAUAAUUGCUGUCAGUUCGUACUUUUUGACCAAUAAUUCUCUGUAUUUCCUGCAAGAAACUUGAGUGAUGCAAAUGACCUUAUUUUUACAGCAUGCUUUUAUUAAAUAGUUUAUUAUUUUGGCAGACUAAUAAAGAUUUUGGUAUUUGCUUUUAUUUGCAAUAAUAUUACCACCACA
Molecule: long non-coding RNA, 1409 nt
Organism: Dromaius novaehollandiae (emu)
Lineage: Eukaryota; Metazoa; Chordata; Aves; Casuariiformes; Dromaiidae
Exons: 3
Source: RefSeq, a predicted model, not a curated record